CCUACGGGAGGCAGCAGUGGGGAAUAUUGGGCAAUGGGCGCAAGCCUGACCCAGCAACGCCGCGUGAAGGAAGAAGGCUUUCGGGUUGUAAACUUCUUUUCUCAGGGACGAAGAAAGUGACGGUACCUGAGGAAUAAGCCACGGCUAACUACGUGCCAGCAGCCGCGGUAAUACGGAGGAGGCGAGUGUUAUCCGGAUUUAUUGGGUUUAAAGGGGGCGUAGGCGGUCCGUUAAGUAAGCGGUAAAAUUGCGGGGCUCAACCUCGUCGAGCCGUUGAAACCGGCAGACUUGAGUUGGCGAGAAGCACGCGGAAUGCGCGGUGUAGCGGUGAAAUGCAUAGAUAUCGGGAAGAACUCCGAUUGCGAAGGCAGCGUACCGGAGCCAGACUGACGCUGAGGCGCGAAAGCGUGGGUAGCAAACAGGAUUAGAUACCCGUGUAGUC
This 442-nucleotide ribosomal RNA is filed under the name uncultured bacterium. RNAcentral's name for it is "partial 16S ribosomal RNA". It matches the Rfam family "Bacterial small subunit ribosomal RNA", at positions 338 to 795 of the family's 1533-position model. The record is from RNAcentral.